UACGGAGGGUGCAAGCGUUGUCCGGAUUUAUUGGGUUUAAAGGGUGCGUAGGCGGCCCUGUAAGUCAGUGGUGAAAUACUGCAGCUUAACUGUAGCAUUGCCAUUGAUACUGUAGGGCUUGAGUACAGAUGAGGUAGGCGGAAUUGAUGGUGUAGCGGUGAAAUGCAUAGAUAUCAUCCAGAACACCGAUUGCGAAGGCAGGUGGCUACGAUUUAUUUGACACUGAGGCACGAAAGCAUGGGGGAGCAAACAGG
RNAcentral lists this ribosomal RNA (254 nucleotides) under uncultured bacterium. RNAcentral's name for it is "partial 16S ribosomal RNA". It matches the Rfam family "Bacterial small subunit ribosomal RNA", at positions 524 to 776 of the family's 1533-position model. The record is from RNAcentral.